AAAUAUAUUGAUAAAAGAUUGCUUUCUAGAAAGUUUGACUAUGAUAAAACUAUAUAUAUAUUUUAAUGCUUUACUUAUAGAUGUGAAGGCCCAGCAUAAAGAAGGUUGAAAGCUGAGGCUGGCAAGAAAAUAUUCACCACUUCAACCCCUGAGAAGUUUCUGUCUGACCCUAAUGCUCAAAUAAUCCUUAGCCAUGGAUUUUGCGUUGGAAUCCGGUAAUUUAAGAAAGAGGACGACAUGGGAUCCAGGAAACAGGAGAACAAUGAAGGGAUGUCUUAUGGCAUCUCUUUAGUAGGCCUAAAGAGGAACCAGUCAAGAUGGAAGAUUUGGGAGGGAAAACUCCAGGAAAAAAAGGAAUGUAACAGAAUAGAAGGUGAAAUGGAAAGAGAAGAGGUACAUAGUUAUACCGGACACUUACAUUUCAAAGUGCGAAAUUUACCUGAGCACCUGAUCCACCUCAGCCUGGUUGGAAGGAGCUAAGCCCUGAAGCUCCUCGGUGAUGGUUUCGUUGACCCACCGCACCGCAGUGCUGACGGCAUCUGACCUUUCUAAUUCCUCUGCUUCAGCUAGCUCGGGUAAAGCGUUCUCAUGGACUUCGAAGCACCGGAUACUUUAAUGGUGAAGACUUAUGCAGAGGCUGUAUUUCACUAACCAUCAGAUCCUGCGUAGAACUACAUGUUCAGAGAGGAUUGUUGGAACCUCAGUAACAGCAGUUUCAUUGAUGUGGAAGAGCAGAGGUCAUUUGGAAGUGAUCCAAGAAAGAGACGGAAGAAAGAGAAUGAAGCUGAGGGAGAAAGUCCACUCAAGGAGCCUGAGUAAAAGGAUUCAGUACGGUGUCCCUACGCAGAGGGGCGGAAGCUGGGAGAGAAGGAAGAGGGGCGAGUGAAGGCCCACCCUCCUCACCCCCUUUAUCACCAGACAGUAUUCACUCUUCAUUUGCAUUUAGCAGACCAGGCCUCUUAUCUUUCACUUCAAAAUCCAGUGACCUCAACCUACAUAACAGGUCAUUCAUGCCCAUCAGCAGUGCGCCAGCACCAAGGCGGCGGCAGAACUAAAGCCAAAGCCAACUUUCACGCUGUCCAUGCAUUUGAAGGAUGAUGGUUUGUAUAUUACAGAGUAAGUACCUAAAUGAAGUCAGAUAGAAUCGGGAGAAGAAAAAUACGAUCUAGCUUAUACUUUGUGAGUUCAGUUCAACAAGCAAUGAGCACCUACAAUGUACCGCAUAUUGUGUUAGGAGGAGAAUGGAACUAACUUUUAAAAAAUGCUUAGGAUGUACCUUGAAGGAGUGACUUUGUCUUGUUUAUCACUGUAUCACAUACCACAAUGCCUGGCAUAUUUAGGAUUCCAUAAAUUAAAUCUUGUAUAAAUUCAUAAAUGUCAGACACAAACCUUGGGCACAUUUGUAUACACUACGUCAUUAAAUUCUCAAACUCUCAAUUGUAAGUUUUAUGCAAUAGUAGUAUGGCUGUUGCCCACAGGGAUCUUUCCCAUCCCUGAAUUCCUCUGAUAUGUAAGAGAAGCAUAGAAGAAAUGGCAUUUGAGCUGGACACCGGAGGUUGUGUAGUAUUUCAACAGGCAGACAAGAGGGAGAAACUGAGGGCAGGAACUUCAGGUAGAGGGUAUAGGAUAAGUGAAGGGGAGGAAAUUGGGAAACUUCACGCUGUAGGGGGAAGUCAGUGCGCCUGUGCGGAGGAGCGGUGGGGGAGGGGCAGGGGAGUUGAGCCUGUUACCGAGGUAGCCGGGCGAGUACUGUGAGUCACACACUGUAACGUGUUUGAUCUUACUCAGCAAUGCAAGGGGGAACCACAGGAAGUUUCUGGGCAAAAGAAUGAUGGUCAGAUUUGGGAUUAGGAACAUUGCUCUGGCAGCACUGUUGGGGAGGGACUUGAUAGAGGGGGAGACUAGGUGAGAAUAAGGAUGGCCCAAACCAGGUCAGGGCCUGGGAAGACAAAAAGGAGGUUGCCUUUAUGCCAAUCCAAUUCCUGAACAUCCUUCAAAGCCCAAGCCAAAACUCUCAGAUGCUACAGCCCACAGGGAUCUUCCCCACCCCUGAAUUCCUAUAACAGGCACACAGUGAUCUAUUCCUCAGUCUAGCACACAAUCCUAUAUCACCCUGUUACUCCAGUUAUCUUAUGUAUCGGUGGCUUUUGUCCCUAACUGAAGUAUAAACUCCCAGAGAGCUGUGCAAACCAAAGACCUGGCUACCUAAUAGGCUGGGAAGAGCAUUCCACUGGGGACAAGAGUCCAAGUUUCCAGUCUUACCUUUUGCACUAGGUAGCGGUGAGACAAGGGCUUGGUGUCUUUGUAAAAUGAGGAAGUCGUUAACUUUCAAGAAUUCCUCUAGCAAGAGACAGUGGAAAGAUAAUGGAAUUGGGAGUUGCAUUCACUCAUUCAUCCCACAAAUAGUUCUUGACUGUCCACUAUGUACUACGCACUCUACUAGGUACUAGGGAAACAGACCGGGUUUGAUUUCUCACUGUCAUUCACUGUGUCCCUUGGGAAAAUCAUUUAAAUUCACUGGGCCACAGUUCUUUAUUUGUAAACAGGAAUCAUAACGUUUACCUCACCGUGGUCCUAAGGAUGAAGUGAUAUCACAUAAAGCACAUAGCACAAGGUGCAUUGAUAAACACCUCCCCCCUUGCCCCUCCCCCAGUUUGAUGUAUAGGCCAGGACCGAGAAAAAUAAACAUUCGUAGAACAUCCCCUAUAUUAACUGCAUCUACAAGAUGUGGUUUUGAACCCUGUAAACACAUCAUGCUUCUUCACAGCAUUUAAAUACUCUGCUUGGUGUUGGCAUAUUGCCUCACCAUAGUGCAAAUUCCUACCAGUCCCAACCAUGAUGCCUUCCAGAAGGUGGGUGUUGGUUAGUACUUAUGGAUCUGGAAGUGAGAAAACGCUUGCCUUUGUUUCAACUGCCCACUGCUUAAGGCUAAGAUGUGUGCCAGAUGGUGCGCUGGGCACAGGGCUUAGGAGGGGUAUAUGAAAAGGCCGCCGCUCUCCACAGGAGCUCACAAGCUGCCCAGGGAGGAUUUCAGUACAUGCAGGGGACGCUACAAGGACGCUGAAGGACGAUUAGUCCUGGGCAAAGUGGGCAAGACUCUGAUCUAAAUUUUAAGUCUAGGUGCGAGCUGGUCGGGUGGGACGGGCAUCCAGGACGGGAAGGGCGCACAAGUCAAGGAGCGGACAUUUGAAAUCGACUGAAACUUGGCAACGAUG
Molecule: long non-coding RNA, 3215 nt
Organism: Aethalodelphis obliquidens (Pacific white-sided dolphin)
Lineage: Eukaryota; Metazoa; Chordata; Mammalia; Artiodactyla; Delphinidae
Exons: 4
Source: RefSeq, a predicted model, not a curated record